ACAAUCGUUAUUUUGUUCGUCUGUGAAAACGCAGAUGACGAAGAUUUAUGGUUGCUUGUCAUGGUAUGUGCGUGCAAUUCACAGAGUUUCGUAUUAAUGGUGCAUUAGCAAUAUUUACAAAAACAUUUGGGAUCAUUGGCUGCACCUAGAGGCAACCGAUUCUUAAAGAAGGGGUCUUGCAACUAAGCAUGACGCGGUUUUUGUUUAUAAAUCUUGGGCAUUUUAACUGCCCCACACGAUCGUUUUGGAAAUUGUGAAAUACCCAGAUGGUCAUGUAUAUAGAGUAUAAAACUAGUAAAAACUAUAAAUCGAUAAAAAUGCAAAGAUAUUUUGGCAUAUCGAUGUUUUUUACCAUUGCAAUGCAAAAUUACUGCAAGGUUUUAAAGUGUGGCAUAGUAAAACAUAAAAAUACACAAA
Long non-coding RNA from Drosophila albomicans, 417 nucleotides. RefSeq lists it as uncharacterized. The transcript has 2 exons. The record is from RefSeq and is a predicted model, not a curated record. NCBI's taxonomy places the organism in Eukaryota, Metazoa, Arthropoda, Insecta, Diptera, Drosophilidae.